GGGAUGGCAGCCACAAGGUAGGAGUUCGCUAACCAGGGGCCCCCAGGGGCCAGCACCCCAAACCAGGGGCCCCACCACCACUCAGCACCCCAAAAUAACCUCUGGGUCUGUUCAUACACAAUUAGAUUGUAAGUUCUUGGACCCAGUAGGUUUGCUCACACAUUACCCACUCCUCCUCCAUGAUGUGCUCUCUCUCUGGGGAGAUUGUAAGCUCUUGGG
Non-coding RNA from Pelobates cultripes (western spadefoot toad), 219 nucleotides. The record is from the annotation of a GenBank genome assembly. Lineage: Eukaryota; Metazoa; Chordata; Amphibia; Anura; Pelobatidae.